RNAcentral lists this unclassified non-coding RNA (343 nucleotides) under soil metagenome. RNAcentral describes it as "partial contains 5.8S ribosomal RNA, internal transcribed spacer 2, and large subunit ribosomal RNA". The stretch from base 1 to 120 matches the Rfam family "5.8S ribosomal RNA", at positions 35 to 154 of the family's 154-position model. The record is from RNAcentral.
GAUGAAGAACGUAGCGAAAUGCGAUAAGUAAUGUGAAUUGCAGAAUUCAGUGAAUCAUCGAAUCUUUGAACGCACAUUGCGCCCGCCAGUAUUCUGGCGGGCAUGCCUGUUCGAGCGUCAUUUCAACCCUCAAGCCCCCGGGCUUGGUGUUGGGGAUCGGCGUGCCCUCGCGGCGCGCCGUCCCCUAAAUCUAGUGGCGGUCUCGCUGUAGCUUCCUCUGCGUAGUAGCAACACUCGCACUGGAUCGCAGCGCGGCCACGCCGUUAAACCCCCCACUUCUGAAAGUUUGACCUCGGAUCAGGUAGGAAUACCCGCUGAACUUAAGCAUAUAAUAAGCGGAGGA